This 237-nucleotide ribosomal RNA is filed under the name uncultured bacterium. Its description in RNAcentral is "partial 16S ribosomal RNA". It matches the Rfam family "Bacterial small subunit ribosomal RNA", at positions 524 to 760 of the family's 1533-position model. The record is from RNAcentral.
UACGGAGGGAGCUAGCGUUGUUCGGAAUUACUGGGCGUAAAGCGUACGUAGGCGGUUAUUCAAGUCAGAGGUGAAAGCCCGGGGCUCAACCCCGGAACUGCCUUUGAAACUAGAUAGCUAGAAUCUUGGAGAGGUCAGUGGAAUUCCGAGUGUAGAGGUGAAAUUCGUAGAUAUUCGGAAGAACACCAGUGGCGAAGGCGACUGACUGGACAAGUAUUGACGCUGAGGUACGAAAGC